GCAACCUACCCAUGAGAUCGGGAUAACUCCGGGAAACCGGAGCUAAUACCGAAUAACCCAGUGAACUGCAUGGUUCACUGGUAAAAGGCGGUUUCGGCCGUCACUCAUGGAUGGGCCCGCGGCGCAUUAGCUAGUUGGUAAGGUAACGGCUUACCAAGGCAACGAUGCGUAGCCGACCUGAGAGGGUGAUCGGCCACACUGGGACUGAGACACGGCCCAGACUCCUACGGGAGGCAGCAGUAGGGAAUCUUCCGCAAUGGACGAAAGUCUGACGGAGCAACGCCGCGUGAACGAUGAAGGUCUUCGGAUCGUAAAGUUCUGUUGUUAGGGAAGAACAAGUACCAGAGGAAAUGCUGGUACCUUGACGGUACCUAACCAGAAAGCCACGGCUAACUACGUGCCAGCAGCCGCGGUAAUACGUAGGUGGCAAGCGUUGUCCGGAAUUAUUGGGCGUAAAGCGCGCGCAGGCGGUUUCUUAAGUCUGAUGUGAAAGCCCACAGCUCAACUGUGGAGGGCCAUUGGAAACUGGGGAACUUGAGUACAGAAGAGGAGAGUGGAAUUCCACGUGUAGCGGUGAAAUGCGUAGAUAUGUGGAGGA
Molecule: ribosomal RNA, 598 nt
Filed under: Pontibacillus sp. HRS1
Lineage: Bacteria; Bacillati; Bacillota; Bacilli; Caryophanales; Bacillaceae
Description: bacterial SSU rRNA
Rfam family: Bacterial small subunit ribosomal RNA
Source: RNAcentral